RNAcentral lists this ribosomal RNA (492 nucleotides) under uncultured bacterium. RNAcentral describes it as "partial 16S ribosomal RNA". It matches the Rfam family "Bacterial small subunit ribosomal RNA", at positions 29 to 507 of the family's 1533-position model. The record is from RNAcentral.
AGUGAACGCUGGCGGUAGGCCUAAUACAUGCAAGUCGAACGGCAGCACAGUAAGCGCUUGCUCUUACGGGUGGCGAGUGGCGGACGGGUGAGGAAUACAUCGGAAUCUACUUUUUCGGGGGGGAUAACGUAGGGACACUUAUACUAAUACCGAAUACGACCUACGGGUGGAAGCAAGGGAUCUUCGGACCUUGCGCGUUAGAAUGAGCCGAUGUCGGAUUAGCUAGUUGGCGGGGUAAAGGCCCACCAAGGCGACGAUCCGUAGCUGGUCUGAGAGGAUGAUCAGCCACACUGGAACUGAGACACGGUCCAGACUCCUACGGGAGGCAGCAGUAGGGAAUAUUGGACAAUGGGCGCAAGCCUGAUCCAGCCAUACCGCGUGAGUGAAGAAGGCCUUCGGGUUGUAAAGCCCUUUUAUUAGGAAAGAAAAGCAGCAGGUUAAUACCUGGCUGUUCUGACGGUACCCAAUGAAUAAGCACCGGCUAACUUCGUG